GACGAACGCGUGGCGGCGUGCCUAACACAUGCAAGUCGAACGGAAGGUAAGUGCUUACGGUAUUUACUUUAGUGGCGAACGGGUGAGUAACGCGUGAGGAACCUGCCUUUCAGUGGGGGGACAACAGUUGGAAACGACUGCUAAUACCGCAUGACGCUUCUUAGGGGCAUCCCUGAGAAGUCAAAGCUUUAUGUGCUGAAAGAUGGCCUCGCGUCUGAUUAGCUAGUUGGUGGGGUAAUGGCCUACCAAGGCGACGAUCAGUAGCCGGACUGAGAGGUUGAACGGCCACAUUGGGACUGAGAUACGGCCCAG
RNAcentral lists this ribosomal RNA (312 nucleotides) under uncultured bacterium. RNAcentral describes it as "bacterial SSU rRNA". It matches the Rfam family "Bacterial small subunit ribosomal RNA", at positions 28 to 334 of the family's 1533-position model. The record is from RNAcentral.